CCCCUCUUCUCUGGUAACCCGCCGCCGGUCAUAUAGAGUGCUCCGCCCGCCACCGCAUAUGUAGAAAAAGAGGGAGCGGGGAAGGAAGAACAACCGUUUUACUUUGGCACAUGAGGUGUUAUUUGUUUGGCUGGGUAACAUAAUGGAAAUGUAUCGGACUGCAAAUCCUGGAAUGACGGUUCGACCCCGUCCUUGGCCUCGGGGAGUGGCGAGCAGCACGGAACUAAAAUAAAAAAAAUGGCAUAACAAACAAAGGGGGGCUUUCCUUUUUUAUAAAUCCACAGACAACAUUCUGGAACUUCCAAACCAAAGAAAUGCAAGAUGAGAAGUUUUACGUUACGCUUCAAUAGAAUUAAUUCGGUAAGGGUAGAGCCCCAUGGUCGAUCGAAGGUCCUGUGCCACUUGAACUCAAAUCUAUCUUACCUUCUAUCCAUCUUUGUCCAGCCAGCUCAUAAAUGUUAGACCAACCAAUCUCAGGGCUGACACAACCGAAUUGGUUGAGGAAAAGGAAAGCCCAGCGACCAAGCACUCCCGCCUCCAAAAAAAAGCGGAGACCGAACAACCGCCAGGUUGUCGAAGACACGUCUGAAGAGGAGGCGGGCGCCCUCUAAGUUGACCACCCUACCCACUAAUGGACUAUGAGGGGGGGCAGGCGAACGGGAACCGACCGAGAACCCGAACCGCUUGACUGACCCCUUCAUACAUACUCGAUUAAUUAGGGUCGGGGAUGGAUGAAAUAAUAAAAGAAGUGAAAAAAAUAGCGCAAGCGAAGCCGGGAAAGGGACCGCAGCGCAACGACUAGGACUCGUGUCGGAGGAGUUUUGAGCGUGAGCUACCACUCAUGCAGCGGCAAGGACCCGCAACUCUCGAAGGGGCCACCAACCGCCCGAAUCACUGUAGUGUAGCAAACCCUCCCUUUACUCAAUGGAUAGCGCUUAUCCUCUUUCAAUCAACAAAAUGAGAAAUGGAGGAGAAAGAUAGAGGUCUUUAUUGAAGAGGCUUUGCACCUAGGACUAAUAAAGAUCCAGAAGAAUGGGUCUAGGCUUUCGAAAAGAUUAAGAUGCAAAGGGUAAAGAGAAAAGAAAUGUCUUUUGAACAACCAACCUGACAUAAGGAUUCUAGCUCGCCCAGUUAGAGCAGAUGGAGAUUAUCGGACGGGGAAAAGCGGCACUCGACCGACAUCUAUUCUAUUAAACAAGACCAAGAACAAAGCCAUACCAUGCCCUCGGGAGAAAGUAGUGAUGAUUGCCAUGAAUGCUGCCCUAGCUAUUGGACGUGUACAAGAAGGUCUUUGCCGAUUCCUAUCAACAUGGUGCACCUCUCAGUAGUAGAGGGGCGUGAAAAGGCCGUGGAGACUUUGACCGAAUGAAUAGGUAUCAAUUGAUAGACAUUUUGAUUGAGGAAGAUAAUCCAGGAUGAAGGCUUUUUUCGUUCGCUAUGUGCUGACUGGAUGCUCGCGUGAUCGAUCGAUGGACGGGGGAAUUGCAUGAAUGACGAGACCGGCCUAACCUAAAGUCAAGUUCCCUCUCUUGAUGGCGAAUCUUGAUUGACUGACAGACGGAACCGAUUCGGAGAAACAAGAAGCAUGAGAUACGCGGCGGCAAAAUUUCCGAUAGCGAAUUACUUGACUCGAUGGAUGGAGGGCCCUACAACUCAAGCACGAAAUAAAUGUUGAGUCAACAAUCAAUCAUCGAGAGGGGCACCGCCAAGCGAGAUCGAGACCAGCACCUUGUUGUAUAUAUAGGUUGGGGAAAAGCCCCUUUAUUUUUUUUAUAGGGUUCCCUGCGCUUCUUCUAAUAUCCCAUCAAUCAAUAAAGUAGGGGCUUCAAAGCUAGCUUGUAGUUUAGGGGUAGGGAACCCUAUAAAAUAGUCCCGCGUGCAAUGGCUUUAUCUGAUGGGGGCUCGCUUCAAAAAGCGGAGCUUGCUUUCUACUAAACGAGCCUUCACUGCCCGCCCGGCCCCUAUCUUUAAUCUUAAGUAAAGUGAAGUCAAAUCAAUGAAGUGAACAGCCCAACCUCUUUGUUUGAAGCUUUGCUUCCCCUAAUUCCAAAAAAGAAUAAAUAGACUUGCUACUAUAGUUAUAGUAUAGGAAAAAGCUUCUCUUUGAUAGCGGUCAUAGGGGGGUUAAGAAAGAAUCUUAUCGUAGAUAGAGACUAAAACCUGUGCGGGGGUAGGGGCGGAUGUAGCCAAGUGGAUCAAGGCAGUGGAUUGUGAAUCCACCACGCGCGGGUUCAAUCCCCGUCGUUCGCCCAUCAAUAAAUGGACCAUUUGUUACGGAGACACAAGACAAACCUAGAAAGAAUUUUUUCUUCAAGUAAUCUCGAGGCUUUCAAAGGCAUCCAAGCAAUUGGUACCCGAUUGAAAGAUAGAAACCAUAGAUUCGCGUCGCCUACUUGCUGAAAGCACAAAUGGAAUGGCUGAUCAUUUAUUGUAUUAAGUUUUUAAGACCUCACUAAUCAGCCUUACACUUUUUUUUUAGUUCAUAAUGAAUGAAAUUAACCCCCGGAUUCGGAUUCGGAAGAGGAAGAAGAAUCGGAAUCGGAAGAGGAAGAAGAGACAUUAUCCCCUCCCUCUUACUAAACCAUGGGGAGCCCCGACUAGUUUACCGGGCAAAUUUCGUUGUCGUGACGAUACCUUUCUUAGUGGAAGAUCGGAAAUUCUCUUCAUCACGAUCCGAUCCGCCGUAGACACCCGAGAGACCUCCACAAGGCAGGCUAAAAGAUUAAGAGGAAAAAAAGCAAAGAGUUACGCUUUCUUUUCUCUUCCCUUGAACUUGAACCGUAGUAUUCCCGCAAAAAACGAAUUGAACCGGGUCUGGCUGAGCCCUUCUGUCCAUCCAUACAAAGAACCGAUUCUUGUGCAACAAAAAGCGGUGUCGACUCUUUAACGACAUCGUCCGCAAAUCGAGAUCUAUUGGAGAGAGUCAUCGAAUCGUCCUUGAUUCCUCGAUUGAAUUUAGCUAAUCGUUUCUUUGGUAAAGGCUAGGAAAAGGUCAGCCCGUCAUUAAAUUCCUUGUCAGGAAGGGUUAGCCCCAAGCCAGCCUUCUCUUGGAUAUCCAAAAAGGCAAGAUUAAAGCGGUUUUAACGAUAGGUUGCUUUCCUUGGUCUUAUAGUUAGUGACCUAUAGCCGGCAGAUAGGGGCGGAGUUUGCUUGCUCUUCACUCAGGGGCUGCUCCUAAAGAUGCUCUUCUUCUUUCCUUGGGGCUCUUAGAAAUGAUAACCUAGUGAAAGUGCCUCAUAAGGGCGAUUAUCGCUAUAUAACGAACGAAAAGACGAAUGUUAGGAAGUUAAGGACGAGACUCAGAAGGACAAAGCUAGACUUCCCAAGGACGAGUUGAAUUGCCUUAUAGUAUAGGGAGGGGGUAGGGAAGACCCCGAAAAAAAAAGAUCUGUCGAAGCAGGACAGGAUAGGGCAAACUAUACUUUCAAUCUGCGUAAAAGAAGUGAGAAUGAGCUUGGCCCGUCCGUAAGCUCCCUCCGGAAAGGAAAAGAAUCUUAUCCGAUCGGCCUGUCCGCUCAUUCUCACAUUUUACUAAUUGGUUGAAAUGUCCCUUCCCUUAAUUAAGGCUUAGGACAGCGCAUCUUUCAGGCCUUGAAUAGCUUUAAUCGGUAAAAUGACAUCCAUAUCCAUGGACACCAAAGGCUUCCUAGCCGGAGAAAGUACAUACUGUUCAGUCUACAGAGCCCUGAUAAGUUCUAUCGAAGCCGAUCUUGCUAAUCGCGAACCCCUCGUC
This 3733-nucleotide transfer RNA is filed under the name Lupinus albus (white lupine). RNAcentral describes it as "hypothetical ncRNA". The stretch from base 2177 to 2250 matches the Rfam family "tRNA". The record is from RNAcentral. Lineage: Eukaryota; Viridiplantae; Streptophyta; Magnoliopsida; Fabales; Fabaceae.